UUUUUAAAGUUGCAUCUCUGAAAAGAAGCCAUUUUAAUUUUAAAAGUUUUAAUUAUUUUGACAGAUUGGUUAUGUCAAGAAAUUAUUCGCCUUUUGACCUCGGAGUCGAUUCCUUAUAAAUACUUGAAUGAGAUAGUCUGGGGGUGAAUGUAGGGCACGGAGUAGCUCGGGCCGGUGACCCGGUCAAUAUACACGGGGGCUAAACCAACCACCCUCCGCACGUUUACCACUGCUGAACAGAGAACGAGCUCUUAAGAGUUGGUCUACCAAUGAGGAAAGUCAAGACGCGAAUGUUCUUCGGCGCGGAGUCGGUUUAUGGUGCAAAAGCUCUUCCAACGGUUGUUAUACAGUGAAGAAGAGGAAGGUAGAAGGUAGUGGAAGUGAAGUUUUGCAGGUGAAAUAAAUAUCCGGUUUUAUAUAAAAAGAUAUGGUCCUCAAAGUAACGUUUCUUCAACAGUUUUAGCAAAAUAAUAUUAAACAAACUGUAAAAAGUCAUUUAAAAAAAUACCAUAUGGUAAAUGAAGAUUUAAAGAG
Non-coding RNA from Onthophagus taurus, 534 nucleotides. The record is from RefSeq and is a predicted model, not a curated record. Lineage: Eukaryota; Metazoa; Arthropoda; Insecta; Coleoptera; Scarabaeidae.